AGAACUCUCUGUCACCCAGGUAACUCAAGAUAGACCGUAUUAAAUAGAACUCUCUGUCACCCAGGUAACUCAAGAUAGACCGUAUUAAGUAGAACUCUCUGUCACCCAGGUAACUCAAGAUAGACCGUAUUAAGUAGAACUCUCUGUCACCCAGGUAACUCAAGAUAGACCGUAUUAAGUAGAACUCUCUGUUACCCAGGUAACUCAAGAUAGACCGUAUUAAAUAGAACUCUCUGUUACCCAGGUAACUCAAGAUAGACCGUAUUAAAUAGAACUCUCUGUUACCCAGGUAACUCAAGAUAGACCGUAUUAAAUAGAACUCUCUGUCACCCAGGUAACUCAAGAUAGACCGUAUUAAAUAG
Molecule: long non-coding RNA, 362 nt
Organism: Oncorhynchus tshawytscha (Chinook salmon)
Lineage: Eukaryota; Metazoa; Chordata; Actinopteri; Salmoniformes; Salmonidae
Source: Ensembl